AAAAACAUGGCUAUUAUGAGAUUAUUUAUAGUCUAGCCUGCUCACUGAUAGGAAUUAUUAAAUAGCCGCGGUAUUUUGACCGUGCAAAGGUAGCAUAAUCAUUAGUUUCUUAAUUGGAAACUUGUAUGAAUGGUUGGACAAAGAAGAGGCUGUCUCUUAUAUUAUUGUUGAAUUUAACUUUUAAGUGAAAAGGCUUAAAUAUUCUAGAGGGACGAUAAGACCCUAUAAAGCUUUAUAAAUUUAAAGAUUUUGUAUGUUUUUAUAUAAAAAUAAAUUCUAAAGAAUUUAUUGGGUUGGGGCGACAAUGGUAUAAUGAAAAUAACUGCUAUUAAAAUUAACAACUAUAUUUGGAUUAAGUUAAAUAAUUGAUCCUUUAUAAGGAUUUUAAGAUCAAGUUACUUUAGGGAUAACAGCGUUAUUUUUUCUGAGAGUUCUUAUCAAAGAAAAAGUUUGCGACCUCGAUGUUGAAUUAAAAUGUCUUUAUAGUGCAGCAGCUAUAAAAGAAGGUCUGUUCGACCUUUAAUGUUUUACAUGAUUUGAGUUCAGACCGGCGAGAGCCAGGUCGGUUUCUAUCU
RNAcentral lists this ribosomal RNA (575 nucleotides) under Charybdis natator. RNAcentral describes it as "partial 16S ribosomal RNA". It matches the Rfam family "Archaeal large subunit ribosomal RNA", at positions 1901 to 2712 of the family's 2987-position model. The record is from RNAcentral. Lineage: Eukaryota; Metazoa; Arthropoda; Malacostraca; Decapoda; Portunidae.